RNAcentral lists this ribosomal RNA (253 nucleotides) under uncultured bacterium. RNAcentral's name for it is "partial 16S ribosomal RNA". It matches the Rfam family "Bacterial small subunit ribosomal RNA", at positions 524 to 776 of the family's 1533-position model. The record is from RNAcentral.
UACGAAGGGGGCUAGCGUUGUUCGGAAUUACUGGGCGUAAAGGGUGCGUAGGCGGCGCCGUAAGUCAGGCGUGAAAUUUCGAGGCUUAACCUCGAGACUGCAUUUGAUACUGCGGUGCUUGAGGACUGGAGAGGAGACUGGAAUUCAUGGUGUAGCAGUGAAAUGCGUAGAGAUCAUGAGGAAGACCAGUGGCGAAGGCGGGUCUCUGGACAGUUCCUGACGCUGAGGCACGAAGGCCAGGGGAGCAAACGGG